RNAcentral lists this non-coding RNA (21 nucleotides) under Arabidopsis thaliana (thale cress). The record is from RNAcentral. Lineage: Eukaryota; Viridiplantae; Streptophyta; Magnoliopsida; Brassicales; Brassicaceae.
ACGGAGAUGUGAUUGAUUGUA